UAGGUCGGAUUAGCUAGUUGGUGGGGUAAUGGCUCACCAAGGCGACGAUCCGUAACUGGUCUGAGAGGAUGAUCAGUCACACUGGAACUGAGACACGGUCCAGACUCCUACGGGAGGCAGCAGUGGGGAAUAUUGGACAAUGGGCGAAAGCCUGAUCCAGCCAUGCCGCGUGUGUGAAGAAGGUCUUCGGAUUGUAAAGCACUUUAAGUUGGGAGGAAGGGUUGUAGAUUAAUACUCUGCAAUUUUGACGUUACCGACAGAAUAA
Molecule: ribosomal RNA, 265 nt
Filed under: uncultured bacterium
Lineage: Bacteria
Description: partial 16S ribosomal RNA
Rfam family: Bacterial small subunit ribosomal RNA
Source: RNAcentral